Molecule: ribosomal RNA, 468 nt
Filed under: uncultured bacterium
Lineage: Bacteria
Description: partial 16S ribosomal RNA
Rfam family: Bacterial small subunit ribosomal RNA
Source: RNAcentral
GACGAACGCUGGCGGCGUGCUUAACACAUGCAAGUCGAACGGAAAGGCCCUGCUUUUGUGGGGUUCUCGAGUGGCGAACGGGUGAGUAACACGUGAGUAACCUGCCCUUGACUUUGGGAUAACUUCAGGAAACUGGGGCUAAUACCGGAUAGGAGCUCCUGCUGCAUGGUGGGGGUUGGAAAGUUUCGGCGGUUGGGGAUGGACUCGCGGCUUAUCAGCUUGUUGGUGGGGUAGUGGCUUACCAAGGCUUUGACGGGUAGCCGGCCUGAGAGGGUGACCGGCCACAUUGGGACUGAGGUACGGACCAGACUCCUACGGGAGGCAGCAGUGGGGAAUAUUGCACAAUGAGCGGAAGCCUGAUGCAGCAACGCCGCGUGCGGGAUGACGGCCUUCGGGUUGUAAACCGCUUUCGCCUGUGACGAAGCGUGAGUGACGGUAAUGGGUAAAGAAGCACCGGCUAACUACGUG